Molecule: ribosomal RNA, 127 nt
Filed under: Cohnella fermenti
Lineage: Bacteria; Bacillati; Bacillota; Bacilli; Caryophanales; Paenibacillaceae
Description: Cohnella sp. CC-MHH1044 partial 16S ribosomal RNA
Rfam family: Bacterial small subunit ribosomal RNA
Source: RNAcentral
CCUUUAUGGAGAGUUUGAUCCUGGCUCAGGACGAACGCUGGCGGCGUGCCUAAUACAUGCAAGUCGAGCGGAGUUAUUCCUUCGGGGAUGACUUAGCGGCGGACGGGUGAGUAACACGUAGGCAACC